Molecule: ribosomal RNA, 667 nt
Filed under: Gymnodinium cf. nolleri
Lineage: Eukaryota; Dinophyceae; Gymnodiniales; Gymnodiniaceae
Description: LSU rRNA
Rfam family: Eukaryotic large subunit ribosomal RNA
Source: RNAcentral
AGGAUUCCCUUAGUAAUGGCGAAUGAACAGGGAUUAGCUCAACAUGGAAAUUGUGGCAUCUCGCCAUGAAUUGUAAUCUCUCGAUGCAUUGCCAAUGGAGGCGCAGAUGUAAGCCGCUUGGAAAAGCGAAUCAUGGAGGGUGAGAAUCCUGUUUGUCAUCUGCAGUCCUUUGUGUUCGGCGUGCAUUCUAAGAGUCACGUUCCUUGGGAGUGGAGCGCAAAUUGGGUGGUAAAUUUCAUCUCAAGCUAAAUAUGGGUUCGAAACCGAUAGCAAACAAGUACCAUGAGGGAAAGAUGAAAAGGACUUUGAAAAGAGAGUUAAAAGUGCCUGAACUUGCUGAAAGGAAAGCGGAUGGAACCAGUCUGCUUGGUGAGAUUGUCGCGCGCAGCAUUGAUCGUUUAUUCGCACAGCGCAAGCGUGCGGGUUUUCUGUGAUGUGUUCGGGCGUGAUGUUUCUUGCCUGGUGAGUCACUGGCAGUUUGCAGGUGGGGAUAACUCUUGGGACAUGGUAGCUUGUCUGCGGAUGGGUGAAUGUGCCCUGUAGGACCCACCAGCGUACUGUAUUUUUUUGUUUGGUUGCGUUGCUGUGCUCUCCUCCGCUUACGGUGGUGUGGAGCGCUUGCACCUUCCUUACAAUGUUUGGUGACGAAAUGGUUCUAUUCGACCCG